Gracilinanus agilis (Agile Gracile Mouse Opossum) is the source of this 381-nucleotide non-coding RNA. NCBI's taxonomy places the organism in Eukaryota, Metazoa, Chordata, Mammalia, Didelphimorphia, Didelphidae. The record is from the annotation of a RefSeq genome assembly.
AUGGUCUCCUCAUGCCACCUUCUCUGGCUGCUGGUGCUGUGGGCUCAGGAUUCCCGAGGAGCCAUUGUGCUGAGCCAAUCUCCAGCUUCUCUGUCCAGAUCUCCAGGAGAGACAGUCACCAUCAGCUGCAGGGCCAGUGAGAGCCUUUCUAAAAGUAUCUUCGGAACUACGUUUCAGUUCUUACACUGGUACCAGCAGAAGCCUGGCCAAGCCCCCAGGCUCCUCAUCUAUGCUGCUACCAGUCUGGCAUCCGGGGUGCCUGCCCGCUUCAGUGGCAGGGGGUCAGGGACAGAUUUUACUCUCACCAUCAGCAACCUGGAGCCUGAAGAUGCUGCAGAUUAUUACUGUCAGCAGUCUAAGAGCUUCCCUCUCCCACAGUGA